ACGCCCCGCACACAACCGAAGGAUAUAGUUAGCUUAUUAAUUACUCGGCAUCCGUGCCACGUAAGCUUGGUAGUUUUUAGGGUCAACAACAUGUAAUGAAAUGUUGUUUUAUUAAUAUAUUCCACCACACUAUGGCCAACAUUUUCUUUGUAUGUAUGAAUUAGCCUAAAACCCUCAAACCUUCCCUUUGGGCAUGACAUUGCCAUGGUUCCUUCAACCCCAGCCCUAAAUUCAUCCCUCUUUUCAUUCCCUAUUUCAACCUACUAUUUCUUCUCCUUCAUCAUGCCAAUUCAUCUCUCAUCCUUAAUCAAGUUUGAGAUUUAGUGCUCACAAUCUAAAAUAAAUUUGUUGCAAAACGUACUUUAAUUUGAUGAUGUGUUGGUGGUUGGUAGAUGAAGGGGUUUGGUUGCGGGGCAAAGAUUAAAAUAAAGGGAGUUUUAACGAAACACUUCCGGUACUGUUCACUUUUAACGAAAAACCAUUUUUUUACAUUUUUCUGGUACUAUUCACUACACCUUUAUUUGUCAUUUUUCAUUAAAACUAAAGUUUUUUUUUUGGACCUUUCGUUAGUUUUCCUAUAAAUCAAAAGAAAAUUAAUAAAAAGGGUUUUAAUACUUUGAAAUUUAACAAAAAACCAUGUAAUAAUUUUAUUUAAUAAUUAGGACAAUACCAAUACCAAACCAGCCCAAUAAGACUGACUCACACAA
This 707-nucleotide long non-coding RNA is filed under the name Malus domestica (apple). RNAcentral's name for it is "long non-coding RNA (MDOM_LNC014137)". The record is from RNAcentral. Lineage: Eukaryota; Viridiplantae; Streptophyta; Magnoliopsida; Rosales; Rosaceae.